CUUGUCGAACCUGAUAGUACAGCAAAGCUUCGGCAGCGCUGAUAGUGACCCUAAUCAAACCUCCGAGAAAAACCUCUAAGGCAUGUUAAAAGCAGCCCGUACCGCAGACCGACACAGGUGGGUGGGAUGAAUAUUCUAAGGCGCUCGGGUGAGCCGUGGAGAAGGAACUAGGCAAAUUGACGCUGUAACUUCGGGAUAAAGCGUACCGAUUUCGGUCGGUCACAGUAAAAUGGUUCAACCAACUGUUUAGCAAAAACACAGGGCCCUGCAAAAUCGAAAGAUGACGUAUAGAGCCUGAUACCUGCCCGUUGCUGGAAGGUUAAGGAAGGAUGUUCGGCGCAAGCCAAAGCUUCUGACUGAAGCCCCAGUAAACGGCGGCCGUAACAAUAACGGUCCUAAGGUAGCGAAAUUCCUUCGGGUAAGUUCCGACCUGCACGAAUGGUCUAAUGAGUUGAACACUGUCUCCUCCACGAGCCCGGUGAAAUUGUAGUAUCGGUGAAGAUGCCGGUUACCCGUCACGGGACGGAAAGACCCCAUGAACCUUCACUACAACUUUGCAUUGAUUUUGAAUUUUUGAUGUGUAGGAUAGUUGGGAUACUUUGAAGUGGUGUCGCCAGGCAUCAUGGAGUCAACGUUGAAAUACCAACCUUUAAACAUUUAGAAUCUAAUCCCUAACGGGAAACAGUGCAUGGUGGGUAGUUUGACUGGGGUGGUCGCCUCCUAAAGUGUAACGGAGGCUUGCAAAGGUUCCCUCAGUACGGUUGGUAAUCGUACAUAGAGCGUAUUAGUAUAAGGGAGCUUGACUGUGAGACUUACAAGUCGAGCAGGGACGAAAGUCGGCUAAAGUGAUCCGGCGGUUCUGUAUGGAAGGGCCGUCGCUCAAAGGAUAAAAGGUACUCUGGAUAACAGGCUGAUCUCCCCCAAGAGCUCAUAUCGACGGGGAGGUUUGGCACCUCGAUGUCGGUUCGUCACAUCCUGGGGCUGGAGAAGGUCCCAAGGGUUCGGCUGUUCGCCGAUUAAAGUGGCGCGUGAACUGGGUUCAGAACGUCGCAAGACAGUUCGGUCCCUAUCUGUGAUGGGCGCUAGUAAAUUGAGAGGACAUGACUUUAGUACGAGAGGACCGAGUCGUAUGUACCGCUGGUGUAUCUGUUGUGCCGCCAGGUGCAGUGCAGAGUAGCUAUGUACAGCCAGGAUAAACGCUGAAAGCAUCUAAGCGUGAAACCUUCCUCAAGAUGAGUUUACUUUUAAGGGUCGUCAAAGACUAUGACGUUGAUAGGCUAUAGGUAUAAAGGUGGUAACAUCAAAGCCGAGUAGUACUAAUUGCCCGUAAGCUUUAUUG
RNAcentral lists this ribosomal RNA (1339 nucleotides) under metagenome. RNAcentral's name for it is "bacterial LSU rRNA". It matches the Rfam family "Bacterial large subunit ribosomal RNA", at positions 1546 to 2925 of the family's 2925-position model. The record is from RNAcentral.